UACGUAGGGGGCAAGCGUUGUCCGGAAUCAUUGGGCGUAAAGAGCGUGUAGGCGGCCUGGUAAGUCCGCUGUGAAAGUCCAGAGCUCAACCCUGGAAUGCCGGUGGAAACUGUCAGGCUCGAGUCCGGAAGAGGCGAGUGGAAUUCCUGGUGUAGCGGUGAAAUGCGCAGAUAUCAGGAGGAACACCAAUGGCGAAGGCAGCUCGCUGGGACGGUACUGACGCUGAGACGCGAAAGCGUGGGGAGCAAACAGG
This 253-nucleotide ribosomal RNA is filed under the name uncultured bacterium. RNAcentral describes it as "partial 16S ribosomal RNA". It matches the Rfam family "Bacterial small subunit ribosomal RNA", at positions 524 to 776 of the family's 1533-position model. The record is from RNAcentral.